Long non-coding RNA from Micropterus dolomieu (smallmouth bass), 529 nucleotides. RefSeq lists it as uncharacterized. NCBI's taxonomy places the organism in Eukaryota, Metazoa, Chordata, Actinopteri, Centrarchiformes, Centrarchidae. The record is from RefSeq and is a predicted model, not a curated record. The transcript has 3 exons.
ACGUUAUAACAUUUUAGUUACCUUUCCGUUGUCACAUCCUGACCCCCGAGACUCGGAGACCGCGCACCGACCCAAACUGACCCACAGCGCGGCCAGCACAGUCACAGUCAGCGGCGGGGACGUCGUUUGGCUCGGCAUGGCGACAACCGGUCAGUCACUCAAGUGUGACCCGAUGUGGCUGAAUGUCAUAGCUUCCCUUUGGUCCUCUAGCUACAGAGAGACCGAGAAACAACUGAACUCCUCAUAACUCCAAAACACGCAUUUCCUUUGGCAAAGCACCAUGGAGCGGUGAGACGUGGGGCUGUCGGCUAAAAAGGUUCACAUCUGAAGGUCCGGUUCCUGAAUCGUACCAAUGUGAGGAGGAUACAUUGUUUCAGUUUUCCAACUGGUCCGGUUUGUGGUCACAAAGGCAAAACUCAGAAAUUGUACACAAAGGCCAUGUGGUGGAAAUGGCGAUCAAUGAUUGGUCAUACAGUCGGCAGUCAUUAGUGUGGACUGGCGACCUGUCCAGGGUGUACACCGCCUUUCG